CCCUUAGAUGUUCUGGGCUGCACGCGCGCUACACUGAAGCUAUCAACACGUUUUCCCUCCCUGAGAAGGGCGGGUAACCUUUUGAAUCAGCUUCGUGGUAGGGAUCGGGGCUUGCAAUUGUUCCCCGUGAACCAGGAAUUCCUAGUAGACGCGAGUCAUAAGCUCGCAUCGAUUAAGUCCCUGCCCUUUGUACACACCGCCCGUCGCUACUACCGAUUGAACGUUUUAGUGAGGCGUUUGGACCGACGCAUCUCAGUUUAACCGCUGGUUUGUGUUGGAAAGACUUCCAAACUUGAGCGUUUAGAGGAAGUAAAAGUCGUAACA
This 324-nucleotide ribosomal RNA is filed under the name uncultured eukaryote. Its description in RNAcentral is "partial 18S ribosomal RNA". It matches the Rfam family "Eukaryotic small subunit ribosomal RNA", at positions 1470 to 1796 of the family's 1831-position model. The record is from RNAcentral.